UCUCUGUUAGUAUAUCGGUUAGUACACGCGCCUGUCAAGUUUGAAUCUGAUCGCGCGAAAGCUGGGUUCGACUCCCAGACAGAGAG
Molecule: non-coding RNA, 86 nt
Organism: Pholiota conissans
Lineage: Eukaryota; Fungi; Basidiomycota; Agaricomycetes; Agaricales; Strophariaceae
Source: the annotation of a GenBank genome assembly